RNAcentral lists this ribosomal RNA (497 nucleotides) under uncultured bacterium. Its description in RNAcentral is "partial 16S ribosomal RNA". It matches the Rfam family "Bacterial small subunit ribosomal RNA", at positions 28 to 507 of the family's 1533-position model. The record is from RNAcentral.
GAUGAACGCUGGCGGCGUGCCUAAUACAUGCAAGUCGAGCGAACAGAUGAGGAUCUUGCUCCUCUGACGUUAGCGGCGGACGGGUGAGUAACACGUGGAUAACCUACCUAUAAGACUGGGAUAACUUCGGGAAACCGGAGCUAAUACCGGAUAAUAUAUUGAACCGCAUGGUUCAAUAGUGAAAGACGGUUUUGCUUUCACUUAUAGAUGGAUCCGCGCCGCAUUAGCUAGUUGGUAAGGUAACGGCUUACCAAGGCAACGAUGCGUAGCCGACCUGAGAGGGUGGUCGGCCACACUGGAACUGAGACACGGUCCAGACUCCUACGGGAGGCAGCAGUAGGGAAUCUUCCGCAAUGGGCGAAAGCCUGACGGAGCAACGCCGCGUGAGUGAUGAAGGUCUUCGGAUCGUAAAACUCUGUUAUUAGGGAAGUACAAAUGUGUAAGUAACUAUGCACGUCUUGACGGUACCUAAUCAGAAAGCCACGGCUAACUACGUG